GCCCUCAUAGUAUAAUGGUUAUUACAGACCCUUGGUAAGGGUCAGAUGGUAGUUCAAUUCUACCUGAGGGCACCA
This 75-nucleotide transfer RNA is filed under the name Alphaproteobacteria bacterium. Its description in RNAcentral is "tRNA-Thr". It matches the Rfam family "tRNA". From Rfam's summary of the family: Transfer RNA (tRNA) molecules are approximately 80 nucleotides in length. Their secondary structure includes four short double-helical elements and three loops (D, anti-codon, and T loops). The record is from RNAcentral. Lineage: Bacteria; Pseudomonadati; Pseudomonadota; Alphaproteobacteria.